This is an RNA transcript of Xenopus tropicalis (tropical clawed frog), 1088 nucleotides long. It is a transcript of the gene named mitoguardin 2-like, with no coding region annotated. The transcript has 9 exons. The record is from RefSeq and is a predicted model, not a curated record. NCBI's taxonomy places the organism in Eukaryota, Metazoa, Chordata, Amphibia, Anura, Pipidae.
ACUGCCUCUCACUGCCCUGCAACACCACCAGCUGCCGUAGAACUGCCUGCCUCACUGCCCUGCAACACCACCAGCACUUUUGGAGAUUCGGCAUCGGCUCCUCUAUCUAGUCGGCACCUCCCGCUCCCUCCAGAUUCUUCAAGUAAGUUAUGAAUAAAGGGAUAUUCCUUGCUUUUCAUUGGCGGCAGGGGACUGAAAGGGAAUGGCUGUCUCCAUUUGAACAUCUGCUGCCCUGAUGGAGGGGAGAGUGGAGCUGAAGGAGUGAGUAGAAGAGCUUGAGCACAAGUGCAUCCAAGGGGAGACAGGCCGUGCUGUCCACAUUCUUGCAACUCAGGCUGUCUCCUGGUCUUCGAAAGGUCCUUUUUGCCUCAGCUCUUGGUACGGUCGCCCUAGCCCUGGCUGCACACCAGCUAAAACGGCACAAGCACAAGAAGAAGCAGAUUACAGCAGGCAAUGGAGGCCUAAAGCUCGGCGGGGUGCCUGGCUCUGUUUUGCCCGUUAGGCGUUCUUCCUCAGCUAAAAAAGUUAAACAUAAAAUGCUUCUAGUCAUCUAUACUUGGGGACGCUGGGAAUCAGAAAGCAGAUUGUUGUCAGAGAUGGACUUGGAGUACUCCUGAGCGAGACGCCUGCUGCCCAUUUGGAGGCUGCAAAUCUCUGCCUGACUCUGCUCCCUACAGUGUGGAUGGUGAGUCGCGGUAUCCGGCAGGAGGGCUGGUGUGACGUACUUAAGGCUUUUCAGCUCACAGGGAAAUUGUAAAAAGCAACUCAGACACAGGGGGAAGAUAGAAUCUCCUAGAGCUCCAUGAGGCGUGAGAACCUUGCUUCUGGGGCAGCAUUGCUGAGGCGGGGCAAUGACCAGACGUUGGACCUUCAUGGAGAGACUCGGUCAAAGGUUGAACCUUUUGAGAGGAGCUUGAACUGAUAAUUCUGACUUGCUGAAAAGCACUGCCCUAAGUCUUUCAGGCAUUUCUGGAGUUAAUGGACUGCGUAUUCCCCAUUUUCCAGCAACAAUUUGGCAUGUGUGGAGUUAAUGGAAUGCUUAUUGCCCUUUUUCCAAGGAUCGUACCGGCAUGUGUGGAGUUAAUGGA